UGGGGAAUCUUAGACAAUGGGGGCAACCCUGAUCUAGCCAUGCCGCGUGAGUGAUGAAGGCCUUAGGGUCGUAAAGCUCUUUCGCUGGGGAUGAUAAUGACAGUACCCAGUAAAGAAACCCCGGCUAACUCCGUGCCAGCAGCCGCGGUAAUACGAAGGGGGCGAGCGUUGUUCGGAAUUACUGGGCGUAAGGGAGCGCAGGCGGUUCAUUCAGUUAGGCGUGAAAGCCCCGGGCUCAACCUGGGAACUGCGCUUAAUACUGAUGAGCUAGAGUUCGAGAGAGGUGAGUGGAGUUCCGAGUGUAGAGGUGAAAUUCGUAGAUAUUCGGAGGAACACCAGUGGCGAAGGCGGCUCACUGGCUCGAUACUGACGCUGAGGUGCGAAAGUGUGGGGAGCAAACAGG
This 403-nucleotide ribosomal RNA is filed under the name uncultured bacterium. RNAcentral describes it as "bacterial SSU rRNA". It matches the Rfam family "Bacterial small subunit ribosomal RNA", at positions 355 to 776 of the family's 1533-position model. The record is from RNAcentral.